RNAcentral lists this long non-coding RNA (869 nucleotides) under Ananas comosus (pineapple). RNAcentral describes it as "long non-coding RNA (ACOM_LNC035794)". Lineage: Eukaryota; Viridiplantae; Streptophyta; Magnoliopsida; Poales; Bromeliaceae. The record is from RNAcentral.
CGAACCGACUUUGCCAACGUGUUUCGUUACCUAUCAAUUAGGUUUACGAAGGGUCAAAUGAGAUCAAACUCAUCUAUUUGCAAAAACCCCAUUUGGAUGCCCUAGAAUGCCAUCACUAGCAAAUCCACCAAAUCGAUCUAUGAUUUGGGUAUAAUCCAUCAAAAUAGCAUGCUAGGGUUCCAAACAAACCAUUUCUAGGGUUUAAAAACCCAUCUACAAAGAUCUACCAUGAGAGGGCUUGGAAGCUUACCUCUCCAAGAGCUCCAAGGUGAAGAAGAUGAAGAUGAAGAUGAGGAAGAGGAUCUCCUCCUUGGUCCUCUUCUUCUUUUCCUUUCCUUUCUCUUUUUCUUCUUCUCUUUUCCUUUCUCUUUUCUCCUUUCUUUCUUUCUUCCCUUGCACGAUCGGAGGGAGAGAGAGGAAGACUGAGGGAGUGAGAGAGAGAGGAAAAGGUCUCUCUCUCUAAUACCCUCUCUCAUUUUGUAACAAUAUCCCCAAACGCCCCUCCACUUUUUAUCUCUUACAUAGCUUUUACUGGGCGUUCUGCGCGCUGAGGGACCGGUCUCCCCGACCAGGGACCGGUCCCCGAGAGCUCUCCCCGAUUCCACGCGUUCGGGAACCGGUCUCUCCCUGAGAGACCGGUCCUCGGGAGACCGGUCUGCCCACCAGAGACCGGUCCCCGAGAGCUCAUCUCGCGGGACUUAGCCAAUUUCUGGCUCUUCUCACUGGUGUCGCAGCCUGGGACCGGUCCCUCCUCUGCCAGGGACCGGUUGCAUCAGCAACCCCCGCAGCCUUCAGCUGAUGGGACCGGUCUCUCACUUCCAGAGACCGGUCCCCGAGAGCAACUUCAGCCCAAAAAUGCAGAUUGCAUU